Molecule: small nucleolar RNA, 107 nt
Organism: Humulus lupulus (European hop)
Lineage: Eukaryota; Viridiplantae; Streptophyta; Magnoliopsida; Rosales; Cannabaceae
Source: RefSeq, a predicted model, not a curated record
AUGACAUGAUGGGGACACCUGCUCAAAAAAAUUUUUAACCCUUUCCAAGCAUCAUAAAGUUACUCACCCUCUGUCCGGUAAAAGUUAUUAAUCUCAUCUGUCAACCU